RNAcentral lists this ribosomal RNA (586 nucleotides) under Pseudomonas sp. enrichment culture clone CH2_2_10. RNAcentral's name for it is "bacterial SSU rRNA". It matches the Rfam family "Bacterial small subunit ribosomal RNA", at positions 135 to 716 of the family's 1533-position model. The record is from RNAcentral. Lineage: Bacteria; Pseudomonadati; Pseudomonadota; Gammaproteobacteria; Pseudomonadales; Pseudomonadaceae.
AGCGGGGGAUAACUACGCGAAAGCGUAGCUAAUACCGCAUACGCCCUACGGGGGAAAGCAGGGGAUCGCAAGACCUUGCACUAUUAGAGCGGCCGAUAUCGGAUUAGCUAGUUGGUGGGGUAACGGCUCACCAAGGCGACGAUCCGUAGCUGGUUUGAGAGGACGACCAGCCACACUGGGACUGAGACACGGCCCAGACUCCUACGGGAGGCAGCAGUGGGGAAUUUUGGACAAUGGGGGAAACCCUGAUCCAGCCAUCCCGCGUGUGCGAUGAAGGCCUUCGGGUUGUAAAGCACUUUUGGCAGGAAAGAAACGUUCCGGGUUAAUACCCCGGGAAACUGACGGUACCUGCAGAAUAAGCACCGGCUAACUACGUGCCAGCAGCCGCGGUAAUACGUAGGGUGCAAGCGUUAAUCGGAAUUACUGGGCGUAAAGCGUGCGCAGGCGGUUCGGAAAGAAAGAUGUGAAAUCCCAGAGCUUAACUUUGGAACUGCAUUUUUAACUACCGAGCUAGAGUGUGUCAGAGGGAGGUGGAAUUCCGCGUGUAGCAGUGAAAUGCGUAGAUAUGCGGAGGAACACCGAUGGC